Molecule: small nucleolar RNA, 132 nt
Organism: Arachis stenosperma
Lineage: Eukaryota; Viridiplantae; Streptophyta; Magnoliopsida; Fabales; Fabaceae
Source: RefSeq, a predicted model, not a curated record
AUCCCAGAUAAGCUAUCGAGUGCUUAUACUGAUUCAUGGGAGGCCAAAAUCGACAUUUUGGAAGUUUCGCUGAUAAAUGCCGAUCUCGUUUUAUCCAAUCAAGGCGUUUACUAGUAACUUUGCCAUACAUUC